CAGCCAUGCCGCGUGUGUGAAGAAGGCCUUAUGGUUGUAAAGACACAGCGAGGAGGAGGCUACUCUAGUUAAUACCUAGGGAUAGUGGACGUUACUCGCAGAAAUAAGCACCGGCUAACUCUGUGCCAGCAGCCGCGGUAAUACAGAGGGUGCGAGCGUUAAUCGGAUUUACUGGGCGUAAAGCGUGCGUAGGCGGCUUAUUAAGUCGGAUGUGAAAUCCCCGAGCUUAACUUGGGAAUUGCAUUCGAUACUGGUGAGCUAGAGUAUGGGAGAGGAUGGUAGAAUUCCAGGUGUAGCGGUGAAAUGCGUAGAGAUCUGGAGGAAUACCGAUGGCGAAGGCAGCCAUCUGGCCUAAUACUGACGCUGAGGUACGAAAGCAUGGGGAGCAAACAGGAUUAGAUACCCUGGUAGUCCAUGCCGUAAACGAUGUCUACUAGCCGUUGGGGCCUUUGAGGCUUUAGUGGCGCAGCUAACGCGAUAAGUAGACCGCCUGGGGAGUACGGUCGCAAGACUAAAACUCAAAUGAAUUGACGGGGGCCCGCACAAGCGGUGGAGCAUGUGGUUUAAUUCGAUGCAACGCGAAGAACCUUACCUGGCCUUGACAUACUAGAAACUUUCCAGAGAUGGAUUGGUGCCUUCGGGAAUCUAGAUACAGAUGCUGCAUGGCUGUCGUCAGCUCGUGUCGUGAGAUGUUGGGUUAAGUCCCGCAACGAGCGCAACCCUUUUCCUUACUUGCCAGCAUUUCGGAUGGGAACUUUAAGGAUACUGCCAGUGACAAACUGGAGGAAGGCGGGGACGACGUCAAGUCAUCAUGGCCCUUACGGCCAGGGCUACACACGUGCUACAAUGGUCGGUACAAAGGGUUGCUACACAGCGAUGUGAUGCUAAUCUCAAAAAGCCGA
This 902-nucleotide ribosomal RNA is filed under the name Acinetobacter sp. BNV 36. Its description in RNAcentral is "bacterial SSU rRNA". It matches the Rfam family "Bacterial small subunit ribosomal RNA", at positions 389 to 1285 of the family's 1533-position model. Lineage: Bacteria; Pseudomonadati; Pseudomonadota; Gammaproteobacteria; Moraxellales; Moraxellaceae. The record is from RNAcentral.